RNAcentral lists this small RNA (537 nucleotides) under Pongo abelii (Sumatran orangutan). RNAcentral's name for it is "processed transcript". The record is from RNAcentral. Lineage: Eukaryota; Metazoa; Chordata; Mammalia; Primates; Hominidae.
GCCUCCCGGGGCCACCCCGCUGCCUCCCCAGCCUUGCCGCGCCUCAGCGACUUUCGGCGCCGCCGGAGCUUCCGCCGCAUCGCGGGCGCCGAGAUCCAGAUGGUCAUCUUACUCAUUGCCACCUCCCUGGUGGUGCUCAUCUGCUCCAUCCCGCUCGUGAUAUGCUUUUGUUUACUGUAGGCAAACUGGAAGUGGAGUCAUAAAACAACUGAUGGGAUGUCAGAUGAGUGUGAAGCACAUCUAUACAUACAAGAGAAAUGCCACAAAUUUGGGUGCGAGUAUUCGUCAACCAGUUAUAUCAGCCAAGUUUGGAGCGAGAAGUCAGUAAAAAUCCAGAUUUGCAGGCCAUCCGAAUUGCUUCUGUGAACCCCAUCCUAGACCCCUGGAUAUAUAUCCUCCUGAGAAAGACAGUGCUCAGUAAAGCAAUAGAGAAGAUCAAAUGCCUCUUCUGCCGUAUUGGCGGGUCCCGCAGGGAGCGCUCCGGACAGCACUGCUCAGACAGUCAAAGGACAUCUUCUGCCAUGUCAGGCCACUCUC